Small nuclear RNA from Peromyscus maniculatus bairdii (prairie deer mouse), 107 nucleotides. Lineage: Eukaryota; Metazoa; Chordata; Mammalia; Rodentia; Cricetidae. The record is from Ensembl.
GUGCUCACUUCAGCAGCACAUAUACUAAAUUUGGAACAAUACAGAGAAGAUUAGCAUGGUCCCUGCACAGGGAUGAUACACAAAUUCAUGAAGCAUUCCAUAGUUUU